GCUAUACAAUGACAUACCAUGAUGACGACUUUAUUACAGGCUAUGUUUACUGUGUCCCCCUUUUACCUUUUAUCCCCAUCUCCCAUGCCCCUGCUGGGAUUCCUAGAGGGAACAUAGCCUCAAUUUAAAAAGUAAGGUCCUAAAACUGAAAUGAGCACCUAUUUUUAUUAUUUAACACCUUUUCUUUUUUUUCUUUUUUUUUGGCGUAAAAGCAAUGUUUUCUUUUUGUUUUCAGGAGUCAAACCUGAGUCUCAACUCUGGUUUGGUCCUUAUGGCUCAGUUCCAAUUACGUAUGUGCAUGAAGGUAAGCUAACUGUGAAUCCUUUCAUUCCUAUAAGAACCUCUGUUCCUACUUUGGUCCUGAGUCUGUAUCAAGCACAUCCAAAGACUUAAGCUUUUUCAACGAGCCCUUGUGAAAGUGUGCGAGCUGGUGACUACCUGACUGGCUUUUUCCU
Xyrichtys novacula (pearly razorfish) is the source of this 455-nucleotide non-coding RNA. Lineage: Eukaryota; Metazoa; Chordata; Actinopteri; Labriformes; Labridae. The record is from the annotation of a GenBank genome assembly.